CUAAUUCUCUUUAUCCAGUUCCUUGAGCUUUGUGAGGGAUAAAAGGUGAUGAACGUAUAGGCCCUAGGGAGGCUGAGGCAGGAGGAUCUGGAUGAGUUCCAGGCCAACCUGAACUACAAAGUGAGACCUUGUCUCAGAGGCCCCACCCAAAAAAGCUAGGCCUGUUUUCUCCUUUGUUCUUUCCUUGCCCUGAUCUGUAAAUGCAAAAUAGCGAGCAUUUAUGUAAACUAUGCAAAGUAGCAAGUAUUUACUGAGGCCCUGCCCUUUAUAUAAAGAUAUGCUCAUCUAGGUGAGUGUGCUUCAGAAGUUCAAAAUCUGAUUGGAAGGCUGAUCAGUGACCCAAGAAGCCUAACUCAGGCCACACACUGCUAUAGAGAGUCCUAAACCAGAGGGAUAGCCAGGGUGGUUUGGGAUUAAACCCUCAUCUCUUCUAGAGGGGGUAAAAGAAUGAGAACAGCCCCUGUGCUGUAAGAAGAGAGCUGCUGCUGCCCUCUGACCUGAGAUGGCAUCUGUCACCACUUCCUUUACAGCCCCGCAGGUGACGGGACCAGCAAGAUGACAGCCCCUGGAUGUUGGCCAUCUGAUUGCUGACCAUCGUGCCGCUGUCGGGGCCCCACUGAGCUAAAAUGUGAGCUGUUUCUGCCAUGGUGCUGGUGGAUUUACACAGAUCUCUCACCGCUCCUUGCAGGUGGAUUUACACAGAUCUCUCACUGCUCCUUGCAGGUUCCAGGAACACGCAGCGGGUGCUCCGUAGUAAAUUGGAAGAUGCAUUCAACCCAUUCAACCCCACCUGCUUUAAACAGUCUCGGAACACCUUUGCCUGAAGUUGGACAAAACCAUCUAACACAAAGCCUACUUUGCAAUACUAUGUUGACUCUCUCAAUCUAUUGCGUCAUGUUGGCCACAUGGUAUCCUACGGGCUUUCCUCAUGAUUGUUUGGCCGACUGAGAGCUGUGGCUGAUUGUUUGCCCAGAAUUGCAAGGGGAUCGAAGCACAUUGUCACCAGCCCAAAAAACAGUCAUUUGUAGUGUACUCCGCAACCCCAAACAGGCAGGAAGAACAAUAAACGAGUUA
Molecule: long non-coding RNA, 1074 nt
Organism: Heterocephalus glaber (naked mole-rat)
Lineage: Eukaryota; Metazoa; Chordata; Mammalia; Rodentia; Bathyergidae
Source: RefSeq, a predicted model, not a curated record